AAUCAACGCUGGCGGCGUGCCUCAGACAUGCAAGUCGAACGCGAAAGUCCCCUUCGGGGGACAAGUAGAGUGGCGCACGGGUGAGUAACACGUAGGUAAUCUACCUUCGGAUGGGGAAUAACAACCGGAAACGGUUGCUAAUACCGCAUAAUGCAGCGGCACCUAAUGGUGACAGUUGUUAAAGCGGGGGAUCGAAAGACCUCGCGUCUGAAGAGGAGCCUGCGGCGGAUUAGCUAGNGGUAAGGUAAUGGCUUACCAAGGCGACGAUCCGUAGCCGGCCUGAGAGGGCGGUCGGCCACACUGACACUGACAUACGGGUCAGACUCCUACGGGAGGCAGCAGUCGGGAAUUUGGGCAAUGGGCGAAAGCCUGACCCAGCAACGCCGCGUGAAGGAUGAAAUCCCUCGGGAUGUAAACUUCGCAAGAAC
RNAcentral lists this ribosomal RNA (428 nucleotides) under uncultured bacterium. RNAcentral's name for it is "bacterial SSU rRNA". It matches the Rfam family "Bacterial small subunit ribosomal RNA", at positions 32 to 441 of the family's 1533-position model. The record is from RNAcentral.